Molecule: ribosomal RNA, 347 nt
Filed under: uncultured bacterium
Lineage: Bacteria
Description: partial 16S ribosomal RNA
Rfam family: Bacterial small subunit ribosomal RNA
Source: RNAcentral
CCUACGGGAGGCAGCAGUGAGGAAUAUUGGUCAAUGGGCGCGAGCCUGAACCAGCCAAGUAGCGUGAAGGAUGACGGCCCUACGGGUUGUAAACUUCUUUUAUAAAGGAAUAAAGUGAGGCACGUGUGCCGUGUUGUAUGUACGUUAUGAAUAAGGAUCGGCUAACUCCGUGCCAGCAGCCGCGGUAAUACGGAGGAUCCGAUCGUUAUCCGGAUUUAUUGGGUUGAAAGGGAGCGUAGAUGGGUUGUUAAGUCAGUUGUGAAAGUUUGCGGCUCCACCGUACAAUUGCAAUUGAUCCUGGCAGCCUUGAGUACAGUUGCGGUAGGCGGAAUUCGUGUUGUAGCGGU